AUUAAACGCUGGCGGCAUGCCUUACACAUGCAAGUCGAACGGCAGCACGGGGGCAACCCUGGUGGCGAGUGGCGAACGGGUGAGUAAAGCAUCGGAACGUGCCCUGGAGUGGGGGAUAACGUAGCGAAAGUUACGCUAAUACCGCAUAUUCUGUGAGCAGGAAAGCAGGGGAUCGCAAGACCUUGCGCUCUGGGAGCGGCCGAUGUCGGAUUAGCUAGUUGGUGGGGUAAAGGCCUACCAAGGCGACGAUCCGUAGCGGGUCUGAGAGGAUGAUCCGCCACACUGGGACUGAGACACGGCCCAGACUCCUACGGGAGGCAGCAGUGGGGAAUUUUGGACAAUGGGCGAAAGCCUGAUCCAGCCAUGCCGCGUGAGUGAAGAAGGCCUGGUUGUAAGA
Molecule: ribosomal RNA, 397 nt
Filed under: uncultured bacterium
Lineage: Bacteria
Description: bacterial SSU rRNA
Rfam family: Bacterial small subunit ribosomal RNA
Source: RNAcentral